AAACCAGCACCUCAAGUGGUCAGGAUGAUUAUUGGGCCUAAAGCAUCCGUAGCCUGUUCUGUAAGUUUCCGGUUAAAUCCAUUAGCUCAACUAAUGGGCUGCCGAAAAUACUGCAAAACUAGGGAGUGGGAGAGGUAGACGGUACUCGGUAGGAAGGGGUAAAAUCCUUUGAUCUAUUGAUGACCACCUGUGGCGAAGGCGGUCUACCAGAACACGUUCGACGGUGAGGGAUGAAAGCUGGGGGAGCAAACCGGAUUAGAAACCCUGGUAGUCC
Molecule: ribosomal RNA, 274 nt
Filed under: uncultured bacterium
Lineage: Bacteria
Description: partial 16S ribosomal RNA
Rfam family: Archaeal small subunit ribosomal RNA
Source: RNAcentral